UAUAUAAUUAGUUUUUCUUUUAUACUGUUACAAAAUGCCUUUCAAGCUUCUCUUAUAUUUUCAAAAGCUAUAAAACCUAUCAAAAUUAUAAGGACUUAAAUUUAUGUAAUUUUUUUAUUUUUGGAUACUUAAAUAUUCCAUUAAUUAGCUAUAUGUCAUUGAAAUGUUAUAAAUAAUUUUCACAUAUCUACUCUUUGUUCAUUUCAUUUCAGCCUUUAGAAAUAAGAGGGCCAUAUGAUGUGGCAAACCUAGGCUUGCUGUUUGGGCUCUCUGAAAGUGAUGCCAAGGCUGCGGUUUCCACCAACUGCCGAGCAGCGCUUCUCCAUGGAGAAACUAGAAAAACUGCUUUUGGAAUUAUUUCUACAGUGAAGAAACCUCGGCCAUCAGAAGAUGAAGAUUGUCUUCCAGCUUCCAAGAAAGCCAAGUGUGAGGGCUGAAAAGAAUGCCCCAGUCUCUGUCAGCACUCCCUUCUUCCCUUUUAUAGUUCAUCAGCCACAACAAAAAUAAAACCUUUGUGUGAUUUA
RNAcentral lists this small RNA (524 nucleotides) under Pongo abelii (Sumatran orangutan). Its description in RNAcentral is "processed transcript". The record is from RNAcentral. Lineage: Eukaryota; Metazoa; Chordata; Mammalia; Primates; Hominidae.